This 439-nucleotide ribosomal RNA is filed under the name uncultured bacterium. Its description in RNAcentral is "bacterial SSU rRNA". It matches the Rfam family "Bacterial small subunit ribosomal RNA", at positions 29 to 514 of the family's 1533-position model. The record is from RNAcentral.
AGCGAACGCUGGCGGCAGGCUUAACACAUGCAAGUCGAACGGAUCCUUCGGGAUCAGUGGCAGACGGGUGAGUAACACGUGGGAACGUGCCUUUUGGUUCGGAACAACUCAGGGAAACUUGAGCUAAUACCGUAUAAGCCCUACUGGGGAAAGAUUUAUCGCCAUUGGAGCGGCCCGCGUCUGAUUAGCUAGUUGGUGAGGUAAAGGCUCACCAAGGCUACGAUCAGUAGCUGGUCNGAGAGGAUGAUCAGCCACAUUGGGACUGAGACACGGCCCAAACUCCUACGGGAGGCAGCAGUGGGGAAUCUUGCGCAAUGGGCGAAAGCCUGACGCAGCCAUGCCGCGUGAAUGAUGAAGGUCUUAGGAUUGUAAAAUUCUUUCACCGGGGACAUAAUGACGGUACCCGGAGAAGAAGCUCCGGCUAACUUCGUGCCAGCAG